RNAcentral lists this ribosomal RNA (831 nucleotides) under uncultured organism. RNAcentral describes it as "bacterial SSU rRNA". It matches the Rfam family "Bacterial small subunit ribosomal RNA", at positions 646 to 1489 of the family's 1533-position model. The record is from RNAcentral.
AUGCAGUUGAGGUAGGCGGAAUGUGUAAUGUAGCGGUGAAAUGCUUAGAUAUUACCCAGAACACCGAUUGCGAAGGCAGCUUACUAAACUGUGAUUGACGCUGAGGCACGAAAGCGUGGGGAGCGAACAGGAUUAGAUACCCUGGUAGUCCACGCUGUAAACUAUGAUCACUCGUUGUUGGCAAUACAUCGUCAGCGACUGAGCGAAAGCAUUAAGUGAUCCACCUGGGGAGUACGAUCGCAAGAUUGAAACUCAAAGGAAUUGACGGGGGCCCGCACAAGCGGAGGAACAUGUGGUUUAAUUCGAUGAUACGCGAGGAACCUUACCUGGGCUUAAAUGCAUAACGACGGACCGGGAAACUGGUCUUUCUUCGGACGGCAUGCAAGGUGCUGCAUGGCUGUCGUCAGCUCGUGCCGUGAGGUGUCGGGUUAAGUCCCAUAACGAGCGCAACCCUUAUCAUUAGUUGCCAGCGGGUAAUGCCGGGGACUCUAAUGAAACUGCCGGUGUAAACCGAGAGGAAGGUGGGGAUGACGUCAAGUCAGCACGGCCCUUAUGUCCAGGGCUACACACGUGUUACAAUGGUCAGUACAGAGGGAAGCUACCAGGCGACUGGAUGCUAAUCUCAAAAACUGGUCUCAGUUCGGAUCGGAGUCUGCAACUCGACUUCGUGAAGUUGGAUUCGCUAGUAAUCGCGCAUCAGCCAUGGCGCGGUGAUACGUUCCCGGGCCUUGUACACACCGCCCGUCAAGCCAUGGAAGCACGGGGGUACACUGAAGUUCGUAACCGCAAGGAGCGACACUAGGGUAAAACUGGUAACUGGGGCUAAGUCGU